Molecule: ribosomal RNA, 569 nt
Filed under: uncultured fungus
Lineage: Eukaryota; Fungi
Description: eukaryotic LSU rRNA
Rfam family: 5.8S ribosomal RNA (bases 209-362)
Source: RNAcentral
CGUAACAAGGUCUCCGUAGGUGAACCUGCGGAGGGAUCAUUACACAAAUAUGAAGGCGGGCUGGAACCUCUCGGGGUUACAGCCUUGCUGAAUUAUUCACCCCUUGUCUUUUGCGUACUUCUUGUUUCCUUGGUGGGUUCGCCCACCACUAGGACAAACAUAAACCUUUUGUAAUUGCAAUCAGCGUCAGUAACAAAUUAAUAAUUACAACUUUCAACAACGGAUCUCUUGGUUCUGGCAUCGAUGAAGAACGCAGCGAAAUGCGAUAAGUAGUGUGAAUUGCAGAAUUCAGUGAAUCAUCGAAUCUUUGAACGCACAUUGCGCCCUUUGGUAUUCCAAAGGGCAUGCCUGUUCGAGCGUCAUUUGUACCCUCAAGCUUUGCUUGGUGUUGGGCGUCUUGUCUCUAGCUUUGCUGGAGACUCGCCUUAAAGUAAUUGGCAGCCGGCCUACUGGUUUCGGAGCGCAGCACAAGUCGCACUCUCUAUCAGCAAAGGUCUAGCAUCCAUUAAGCCUUUUUUUCAACUUUUGACCUCGGAUCAGGUAGGGAUACCCGCUGAACUUAAGCAUAU